CUUGAUCAUCCUUGCUGGUGCAGUAUAUUGACCGUUCUCCCACAAGCUCAAACAGCUGUUCUCCAUCUGGUCCAGUGUGGCACUGGUCAGCCCUCUUUUUGGAUUGAUCCUUGAGCUCAAGAGUCACUCUCCAGAGCUGAGUCGCUGAUCUUAAUUCUGAGUCACACUCACCCUUCAUCACAAAUAAAGGACACUUUUGCCCCAAGCUGGAGAUUAAGUGGAGGCAGCACAUGGCCAUGAGGGAGUUGACCCAAGAAGUCAUCACAGGAUUUCACUAGAAUAAAAAAAAAAUAGGAGUAAGACCUCCAUGUGAGGGUUACAGAGAGCAAUCGAGAAGCCAGAGAGUCGAGGUACCUGCACAUCUGGGGGCUUCAGGGCUCCAGUCUCCCUGGGGUGUGCAGUGCAGAGAAGCAGCCCCUCUGAGGUCAUAGCCGGGCUCACAGCUGUAGAACACUUCCUGCCCAGGUGAAAAGUUGACCUGAUUGCUUUGGGUAUGCUCACCAUGCAGAAUUUCUGGAGGUGGCUGACACACU
Long non-coding RNA from Callithrix jacchus (white-tufted-ear marmoset), 533 nucleotides. RefSeq lists it as uncharacterized. The record is from RefSeq and is a predicted model, not a curated record. Lineage: Eukaryota; Metazoa; Chordata; Mammalia; Primates; Cebidae.